GCUUUGUUUAUUGGAUAUGAAUAAAUGCAAGAAUGAAAUAACAAUUAGUUUAUUCAUAAAACAAUGUGUGUAUUACAAACAACGAGACUUUGGAAGAAUUAGGAUACCAAUCCCAACAAUCUGGCUAUAAUUUCUGAUGGUAUAAAAAAGAUUAGAGGUACUGCUCAUUUUUGGACUCUUUCUCCAAAAAGGAAGGAAAAUUUUGAAGAAGGAGUUUGUCAAUUACAAAUUUCAUGCACUAAAAAACUGUCUUGAUUGUGUAACAAGAUGGAAUUCAACAUUCGUGAUGCUCAAAAAUGCUUUGGAAUACAAGAAUGUUUUUCCUCAUCUAAAAUAACGUGAACCACUAUACAUUUGUCUUCCUCAGAGACUGAUUGGAAUUUUGCAAAAGAAAUGUAUGAUAGAUUAGAAUCCUUUUACUUGAUGACUGAGUUAUUUUCUAGGUCAAGUUAUCCAACCUUCGAUGUCUUUUUUUGAAGAAGUUUGUGAAAUUAGGUUGGAACUUUCUAAGUGGCUUAGUUUUGAUGUUGAGGAGAUACAAGAAAUGGCAUCAAGAAUGAUUGCUAAGUUUGAAAAAUAUUGGAGUGUGAUUCAUGGUGUAUUGGCAAUAGCUACAGUAUUAGAUCCUAGGUUUAAGAUGAGAUUGAUCCAGUUUUAUUUUCCUAAAAUCUAUGGAUCUCAUCAUACUGUUGAAAUUAAACAUGUUAGAGAUAUGUGUUGUGAUUUGAUGAAGUUUUAUAAUUCGAAUUCAAGUACAUUAGAAGAACCUCAACGUCCUACAUCUACAAUUAGUACUUCUUCGAUUUCCAAGCGAGAUGGAAGUAGUGACCGUUCCCAAAUUCAUGAAAACUUAUUAGAAGCUUUGAUGUAUACUCAAGAUUGGCUAUGGUUGAAGAUAAGCAUACUCUUAUAGAUGCUAAAGUUUUGGAAAAUGUUUUUGAGGAUUAAGAUCCAAAUGAUGAAUCAUCUUUGACAAAGUUGGAUGAAAUUUUCUAAUGACUUGAUUUGGCUAUUUUGUAGCUUUUCUUUAAAAUAUAUGUUGUGUCUUGACUUCUGAUUUGUGAACCUUUUUAUGUAAUUGAAAACUCUAUUAACUUUGUU
This is a long non-coding RNA of Benincasa hispida (wax gourd), 1101 nucleotides long. RefSeq lists it as uncharacterized. The record is from RefSeq and is a predicted model, not a curated record. Lineage: Eukaryota; Viridiplantae; Streptophyta; Magnoliopsida; Cucurbitales; Cucurbitaceae.